GAUGAACGCUGGCGGCGUGCCUAAUACAUGCAAGUCGAGCGAACAGACGAGGAGCUUGCUCCUCUGACGUUAGCGGCGGACGGGUGAGUAACACGUGGAUAACCUACCUAUAAGACUGGGAUAACUUCGGGAAACCGGAGCUAAUACCGGAUAAUAUAUUGAACCGCAUGGUUCAAUAGUGAAAGACGGUUUUGCUGUCACUUAUAGAUGGAUCCGCGCCGCAUUAGCUAGUUGGUAAGGUAACGGCUUACCAAGGCAACGAUGCGUAGCCGACCUGAGAGGGUGGAUCGCCCCCCUGGGACUUAGGCCACGUCCAGAAUCCUACGGGAAGCCACCAUUGGGAAUCUUCCGCAAUGGGCGAAAGCCUGACGGAGCAACGCCGCGUGAGUGAUGAAGGUCUUCGGAUCGUAAAACUCUGUUAUUAGGGAAGAACAAAUGUGUAAGUAACUAUGCACGUCUUGACGGUACCUAAUCAGAAAGCCACGGCUAACUACGUG
This 497-nucleotide ribosomal RNA is filed under the name uncultured bacterium. RNAcentral's name for it is "partial 16S ribosomal RNA". It matches the Rfam family "Bacterial small subunit ribosomal RNA", at positions 28 to 507 of the family's 1533-position model. The record is from RNAcentral.